Molecule: ribosomal RNA, 255 nt
Filed under: uncultured bacterium
Lineage: Bacteria
Description: partial 16S ribosomal RNA
Rfam family: Bacterial small subunit ribosomal RNA
Source: RNAcentral
UACGAGGGGGCGAGCGUUGUUCGGAAUUAUUGGCGUAAAGGGUGCGUAGGCGGUUUGGUAAGUCUGAUGUGAAUCUAUGGGCUCAACUCAUAGUCUGCAUCGGAAACUGCCGGGCUUGAGUGUGGGAGAGGUGAGUGGAAUUCCUGGUGUAGCGGUGAAAUGCGUAGAUAUCAAGGAGGAACACCUGGUGGCGAAAGCGGCUCACUGGGACCAUAACUGACGCUGGAUGACACGGAAAGCCUAGGGAGCAACAGG